UGAGGAACAUGACCUUCGGCGGGGGAUAGCCGGCCCAACGGCCGGGUAAUACCGCGUACGACCACAUGGGGACAUCCCUGAGUGGUGAAAGCAGCAAUGCGCCGAUGGAGUGCCUCGCGGCCUAUCAGCUAGUUGGUGAGGUAACGGCUCACCAAGGCGACGACGGGUAGCUGGUCUGAGAGGAUGGCCAGCCACAUUGGGACUGAGACACGGCCCAGAUCCGUA
RNAcentral lists this ribosomal RNA (225 nucleotides) under uncultured bacterium. Its description in RNAcentral is "partial 16S ribosomal RNA". It matches the Rfam family "Bacterial small subunit ribosomal RNA", at positions 118 to 341 of the family's 1533-position model. The record is from RNAcentral.